UGGGGAAUAUUGCACAAUGGGCGAAAGCCUGAUGCAGCAACGCCGCGUGAGGGAUGACGGCCUUCGGGUUGUAAACCUCUUUUAGUAGGGAAGAAGCGAAAGUGACGGUACCUGCAGAAAAAGCACCGGCUAACUACGUGCCAGCAGCCGCGGUAAUACGUAGGGUGCAAGCGUUGUCCGGAAUUAUUGGGCGUAAAGAGCUCGUAGGCGGUUUGUCGCGUCUGCUGUGAAAUCCCGAGGCUCAACCUCGGGUCUGCAGUGGGUACGGGCAGACUAGAGUGUGGUAGGGGAGAUUGGAAUUCCUGGUGUAGCGGUGGAAUGCGCAGAUAUCAGGAGGAACACCGAUGGCGAAGGCAGAUCUCUGGGCCAUUACUGACGCUGAGGAGCGAAAGCAUGGGGAGCAAACA
RNAcentral lists this ribosomal RNA (407 nucleotides) under uncultured bacterium. RNAcentral describes it as "partial 16S ribosomal RNA". It matches the Rfam family "Bacterial small subunit ribosomal RNA", at positions 355 to 774 of the family's 1533-position model. The record is from RNAcentral.